RNAcentral lists this ribosomal RNA (387 nucleotides) under Itaropsis parviceps. Its description in RNAcentral is "partial 12S ribosomal RNA". Lineage: Eukaryota; Metazoa; Arthropoda; Insecta; Orthoptera; Gryllidae. The record is from RNAcentral.
UUUUAUUKGACGGGUAAAAUUAAAUACCKGRGUAGUAAUAGUUAUGAUUUUAAACCUCAAGGCAUUUGGUUUUUUUUUUGUCCUUUCAGAGGAAUCUGUCCUGUAAUUGAUAGUACACGAUUUUAUUUACUUAAUUUGGUUGAUCCGUUUAUAUACCGCCGUCGUAAGAUUAUCUUGUGGAGAGUGUAAAAUUUCUUUUUUUGUUAUAGAAUAUGUCAGGUCACGGUGUAGCUAAUGAAUAAGUAGAGAUGGAAUACAACAAACAUAUUUAUUAUGGUUAGUUGAUUUUAAUUAAAUUAGGAGGGGGAUUUGAUUAWAAACUAGUUGAAAUUGAUUUUUUGAUUAKGGCYCUAAAAYUUGMACAAAUCGCCAACACUCCCGUUUUAA